Molecule: non-coding RNA, 647 nt
Organism: Cricetulus griseus (Chinese hamster)
Lineage: Eukaryota; Metazoa; Chordata; Mammalia; Rodentia; Cricetidae
Source: RefSeq, a predicted model, not a curated record
CGCGUUGCUACCUGCCGGCCUCGCAUUCUUUGAAAACAUUUAAUGGCCUCUUGGAGCCCCGAAGGUAUCCUCCUCCUAAUUGCCGUGUUAGAGCCCAGGGUCGGAAAGAAGCUUCAGAACUGAGAUACCAGAACCUGCAUGCUACGCUCGAGGUUUCAAAUAUAAGGUCCUGAGUUCAAUUCCCAGCAACCACAUGGUGGCUCACGACAUCUAUAAUGAGAUCUGAUGCCUUCUGUAAUGCAGACAUAUGUGCGGUCAGAACACUUGUACACAGCCACAGGAAGACAACUGACAAUCACACUGAGGAAAUCUUGAUGAAAAUAAACCUCAAAGCCAACCCCCGGUGACUCGCUUCCUCCCAUAAGACCACACCCACUCCAACAAGGCCACACCUCCUAAAGUGCCGCUCCCUUUGGGGGCCAGUUUCACUAGACUUUACUAAUUGGCUAAUUGAAAAAGAAUUAGUGAACAGGGAAUGAAGGAGGAAGGGGAAAAGAUGCACUACUCAGGUUAUGGAAUGCAAUGGCGGCCUUUGUGUAAACAAAGGUUUUACUAAGCUAUAGUGUGUGAGUGUGUGUGUGUAAAGACAGUUGCAUAAAAGUCUUACAAAGUGGGAAAGAAUAAAAAUAUUUGAAUUCCUUGUCUUA